Rattus norvegicus (Norway rat) is the source of this 1591-nucleotide non-coding RNA. The record is from RefSeq and is a predicted model, not a curated record. NCBI's taxonomy places the organism in Eukaryota, Metazoa, Chordata, Mammalia, Rodentia, Muridae.
AUGUUCAAACUACCAAGGAUUCAAUGUCUUCUUUAAAUGUGAUUUGUGUGUUUGUUUAUAAGACACCCAGGCUGGCCUUGAACUCACUGGAUGAAUUUGAACUUCUUUUACUCCUACGUUACCCAACUACACAUGGCUUGCAAUGUUUUCAUGUUGGGUCAAAUAUGGAAUGUGGACAUUCAUUCCUAUAUCAUCAGUAUGAGAGGUCUUCUGAGGUUAUGCUGGGAAAGACAAACUGGCCUUGCUUCAAACCACCUUCUAGGAGGCAAGAUCCUAAAGCAACAAAAAUCAUCACUCUGUUCUAGAAGGGAAAUUUUAUGUCAAAAAUGUUCUUAAAACCCAGGAAUAGAUUCCUACUGCUGGAUCUUAGGGGUUAGGUCCCUCCUGUGGCAGGAGGGAUUGUGUAUACCUCAUAUCCGAAUACCUCCACUGAUCUGCUACAUGCAGACUUCUCCCUGAUAAUGUCUGUAAAUGUGGAAAGUUUCCUGUGUUAUAUGAGUUGCUGUUACACAUUCUAUUGCAGCCUCCAAGCAUCACUGAAGGACUCGAUGACCUACUCGGUAUCAGCACAUCUCUCUACUGAUCCUGGAAAGACUUUCCAUUUACUCAGCAAACCUCAUCUGGGUUCUGUAAUCUCUAGGUGCAGGGUCACAGGGAGACAGCUGCUGUCCCACUGCAGCACUGUUCUAGAACCUCUGCAAGAGUACAGGAGAUAAUGUGGGUAAAGAACUUCCAUCAGGACCCAGGAUGCAGCAUGAACUAAAAACAGCAUCUUUACUGGGAACAAGUUAUGACUGACCUCGUACAUUUACAACGUAACAAAACUGCUUCCUUGCUCUUCUUUGGAGGGUACAGUCUAGGGUUAGAAGCUUUGUCCUUAGUGUUGUGCUGCUGAUAGAGGAUGCUGAGAAGAGAACCCAGGGACUCAGUUUAUGCCAGGCAAGUACUCUGUCACUGCGCUGAACAGGUCCCUACACUCAUAUUUUUAUGAAAGGCUCUUAGGAAGACUGUUGAAUCAAGCAGUGGCACUUAUGACACUUUAUGCAGGAAUAACUGAAAUCUACUGAUGGCACAGAGUAGAGCCAUACAGCAGGUGGAACAGCCUGCUUCUCAUAUGAUUAUUAGUCACCAUGAACAGGUAGAGGGAUCUGCCUAGAAAGAAGGAAAGAAACGAGGUUUAUGUGGAGUUUCAGUUUGUCUACUUGGGCUUACCUCUCUCCUCCUGGAUGCCCAACAGCUCUGCUUGAUCUUCCAGACCACUGCCGCCACCAGAAGCAGAGAGAGGAAACAGCUGCAAGGGAAAACCACCUUGUUAGUCAGCUCGCCCUGCCUGACUCCACGCCUGACCCCAGGGAACAAUCCUCCACGUCCUAACUCAGCUCCUGAUGCUGUAUGUGAUAGAUAGGCUCACAGGAAGUUAGUGUGAGAAACACUGGCUAGCUGAGCUAAGCAAGCUUCCUGACUUCCUUCUAGGAAGUGCUCCAAUCCCUGCCUUCUCAAUAAGCCCCCCAGAGUAGCCAACCACAACUUACCCCAAAUAAGAAAAGCAAUUCUAACAUAAAUGAUAACAGGUAAUAAACAAGUAAUUUAA